This 497-nucleotide ribosomal RNA is filed under the name uncultured bacterium. RNAcentral's name for it is "partial 16S ribosomal RNA". It matches the Rfam family "Bacterial small subunit ribosomal RNA", at positions 28 to 507 of the family's 1533-position model. The record is from RNAcentral.
GAUGAACGCUGGCGGCGUGCCUAAUACAUGCAAGUCGAGCGAACGGACGAGAAGAUUGCUUCUCUGAUGUUAGCGGCGGACGGGUGAGUAACACGUGGAUAACCUACCUAUAAGACUGGGAUAACUUCGGGAAACCGGAGCUAAUACCGGAUAAUAUUUUGAACCGCAUGGUUCAAAAGUGAAAGACGGUCUUGCUGUCACUUAUAGAUGGAUCCGCGCUGCAUUAGCUGGUUGGUAAGGUAACGGCUUACCAAGGCAACGAUGCAUAGCCGACCUGAGAGGGUGAUCGGCCACACUGGAACUGAGACACGGUCCAGACUCCUACGGGAGGCAGCAGUAGGGAAUCUUCCGCAAUGGGCGAAAGCCUGACGGAGCAACGCCGCGUGAGUGAUGAAGGUCUUCGGAUCGUAAAACUCUGUUAUUAGGGAAGAACAUAUGUGUAAGUAACUGUGCACAUCUUGACGGUACCUAAUCAGAAAGCCACGGCUAACUACGUG